AAAUUGAAGAGUUUGAUCAUGGCUCAGAUUGAACGCUGGCGGCAGGCCUAACACAUGCAAGUCGAGCGGUAGCACAGAGAGCUUGCUCUCGGGUGACGAGCGGCGGACGGGUGAGUAAUGUCUGGGAAACUGCCUGAUGGAGGGGGAUAACUACUGGAAACGGUAGCUAAUACCGCAUAACGUCGCAAGACCAAAGUGGGGGACCUUCGGGCCUCAUGCCAUCAGAUGUGCCCAGAUGGGAUUAGCUAGUAGGUGGGGUAAUGGCUCACCUAGGCGACGAUCCCUAGCUGGUCUGAGAGGAUGACCAGCCACACUGGAACUGAGACACGGUCCAGACUCCUACGGGAGGCAGCAGUGGGGAAUAUUGCACAAUGGGCGCAAGCCUGAUG
This 389-nucleotide ribosomal RNA is filed under the name Klebsiella pneumoniae. RNAcentral's name for it is "bacterial SSU rRNA". It matches the Rfam family "Bacterial small subunit ribosomal RNA", at positions 1 to 388 of the family's 1533-position model. RNAcentral also lists the same sequence under 1 other name. Lineage: Bacteria; Pseudomonadati; Pseudomonadota; Gammaproteobacteria; Enterobacterales; Enterobacteriaceae. The record is from RNAcentral.